GCCGCAAUAGCUCAGUUGGUAGAGCAAGGGACUGAAAAUCCCUGUGUCCUUGGUUCAAUUCAGAGUUGCGGCA
This 73-nucleotide transfer RNA is filed under the name Candidatus Stercorousia faecigallinarum. RNAcentral's name for it is "tRNA-Phe". It matches the Rfam family "tRNA". From Rfam's summary of the family: Transfer RNA (tRNA) molecules are approximately 80 nucleotides in length. Their secondary structure includes four short double-helical elements and three loops (D, anti-codon, and T loops). Lineage: Bacteria; Bacillati; Candidatus Melainabacteria; Candidatus Gastranaerophilales; Candidatus Gastranaerophilaceae. The record is from RNAcentral.